GAUGAAGAACGCAGCGAAAUGCGAUAAGUAAUGUGAAUUGCAGAAUUCAGUGAAUCAUCGAAUCUUUGAACGCACCUUGCACCCUUUGGUAUUCCGAAGGGUAUGCUCGUUUGAGUGUCAUUGUACUCUCACACUUCUAAUUCCUUUCGGGAUUGGGAGCGGUGGACUUGGGUGUUGCUGCUUUAGUUGUGGCUCACCUCAAAUAAGUUAGUGCAACUCUUGGUUGGACAUAGUACGGCGUGAUAAGUGUCUUCGCCGGCGCCUCUGUAAGGAGGGUGGCCGAUCGGGAGCUCUGUGCUUCAAACCGUCUUCGGACAAUCUUUGACAACUUGACCUCAAUCGAGUAGGACUACCCGCUGAACUUAAGCAUAUCAAUAAGCGGAGGA
Molecule: unclassified non-coding RNA, 386 nt
Filed under: soil metagenome
Description: partial contains 5.8S ribosomal RNA, internal transcribed spacer 2, and large subunit ribosomal RNA
Rfam family: 5.8S ribosomal RNA (bases 1-120)
Source: RNAcentral